Lolium rigidum is the source of this 2191-nucleotide long non-coding RNA. RefSeq lists it as uncharacterized. NCBI's taxonomy places the organism in Eukaryota, Viridiplantae, Streptophyta, Magnoliopsida, Poales, Poaceae. The transcript is spliced from 13 exons. The record is from RefSeq and is a predicted model, not a curated record.
GCAUCAGCAGGUGCAGCCACCAGGGGCAGUCCGCAUCCCCGCGGGGAGCGUCCUGGAGGGCGAGCAGGCAAGGAUAGACCGGCUGUCUUCCCUCCUCUUCGUCCCUCACAUACUCGGGCCUGUAGCACCACGUGAUUUUCUCCAUGAACCACUCCAAGAUUUUCUCUGAAGUUGCAGGUAUUAUCGAAAGCACGACCUCAAGGAUCAAGGCAGAGGAGAAGCAAGUCAGCAAGGAGGGAAAUCACAGAAGCUAUCAAGAACAAAGGCUUCUUAGUUUCCAUUACAUGUAUUGGUAUUAAAGUGUGUAGCCAGAAAAGGAAAUCCAAGUGCAGCAUCCUUACUUUAAUUAGAAGAGGUAAUAAGAACAUGGAUCUUGGUGCGUGGAGUCCACUCUUCAGGUACCAAUGUUGCAGUAGGUAGGAUCACAAGCUAGGAUGAAGGAGCUAUGCAGAGAUCCAAUCAUAACAAAUAGUGGACAGAGGAGAAGAGGCUAACAUGGAAUUAGACGAUGGAUCUUCCAAGAUUCCUCAGGGGCCAUUAAAGCAUGGCUUGGUUUCUUGCCCAUAUAAGACAAUAAUAUUGAAGCAUAAGAUGUACAUGAUCAGCUUUAUUCAAUGGUGAUGAGAUUUUGCAUUUGUCGAGGUAGGUUCUGACUUAUGCGACAGCGGUUGGUGGCGCCCAGAGGGUUCCGCGGCUGGUAGCGCUGGCGGUUCAAAGUCGCGUAGGCGGUGCAUCCACCGGCGCUCUACUUCUUUGUCGGAAGGAGCCGCUGACAGCACCGCCAGGCGUUAUCCCGUCGGCUGGUUCGCCGUGUGGAGGCCACGCCAGGUGAGCUUAAGGAUGCCGUGCCAGGUGCAGAUUUCAGAGCUAAGGGGUUCCCAAACUCCCUAGAUGUCGAUUUUGGACCUUUUUGUUUUUGUAGUCAGUUUAUGCCUUUAAUUUCUUGAACCAUAGGUGUUUGAGUUUUGAUGUUCUGCAGCCAACAAGUGUUGCCUUUGCUAUAGCGACAUUGUUCAUCCUAUAUCAUUGAGUGAAUACAACAGUCUCCGUGUCUUGGACUAUUGCAUCAGAUUUUAGUGUGUGUAUGCAAUCCAAGAAUACCCCGUCCUUCACGUCUGAUUUUGCAUUGCUUGAUCUGUCAAGGGAAUAAAAAAUACAAGAUUUGUUAAUGUGGAGAAGAAAAAAGGAUCAAGAAAGGUUAAGUUAUCCUUUCUGCAUAUCAUUUAAUAAAAUCCCUAUAUUGUUCUAAGAAAUUGAUCUAUAAAUGAUGCAUUUGUGCCAUCUAAUUUAAAGUUCUUAGCUGCAUGGAGGUGACAACACUUCUGAGAUAUUUGCGCUGGUUAACAAAGUAAAGUUCACCUAUCUCAUAUUCUUGCUAAUGGGUUACUAUUCGAGCACUAACUAUAGCCACUGUUGAGAUACCUCCAUAUGUUUGCCCUAUUGCUAUCUUUAUUACUUCCUUGCUAUCUUGCAUUAUUCAGCAGAUGUAAUAUAUUGGCAAUCACUAAAGAUAUGUACCAAUUUAAAAGUAGGUACACACUUAGGGACUCUGUUUCCAUAAGCAAUUGAAGAAAUGACUAUGUUUUUUCGCAGAAGAAUUAAAAUCUGUUAUAGUUUCCUUGCUGGUGCUUACGAAAUGUAGAAUUUCAUGUACCUCCAAUAGUGCAUGAGUUGACGAAAUGAGCAUACCUGCAAUAUCAGAGAAGAACUUAAUAAAACAGCUUCUCGAACUAUGGUUAUUCUGCAUCCUUUAAAGGAAAGCCUGGAGAUGAAAGAUAGCUUUCGUGUCUUCACAUGUCCAUGACGCAGCUCUUCUUUCAGAUGUUGCAGACACCGGCAUCUACCAUGGAGCUAUUCAUUUUGGUCAUGUCAUUGUACAUCAGCAGCCCGCAAUAAGCUGGGACUGCCUCCCUUGUGUGGGGAUCAGUCAUCUUCUCCUUCACCAGAUUCAUUGGCGUCGCCACGGACAAGAUCUGCUCUUUGUCCUUCCAUGUUUUGCGCAGAUUUAUGUGAUGGAUUUUGGCAAUGAAACAUCAAUUAUGUCCUUGCCAGUGCCGUAAAUGAACCGAGAAACUACAGUAGGUAUGGAUGCAGUAUUUGUACUCCAGCUGAUCAGAGGUCUGAUGAAUCUUGCUGGUGAUUUUGGUUAAAUUUGCUUUGCUAUCAGUGUUAGAUGGAGAAGGUAAUUUUU